This 24-nucleotide ribosomal RNA is filed under the name Cryptandra gemmata. Its description in RNAcentral is "partial 26S ribosomal RNA". The record is from RNAcentral. Lineage: Eukaryota; Viridiplantae; Streptophyta; Magnoliopsida; Rosales; Rhamnaceae. RNAcentral also lists the same sequence under 1 other name.
UGCGACCUCAGGUCAGGCGGGGCU